AGUGUCUGGCAGCACUGUGUUCCUGUUAGAGCCACCAGCACAAGCACCAGACGAUGCUGAUCCAGGUGAAGGCCCCAGUGCAGCAGCAACAGCACAUGAUGGAGACGAUGAUGAAGAGGAGACAUCUCUCUGGAUUCCAGAAGGCAUGAGGACCCAGAUGCUAUACAGUGGGAAAACCAGCCUGGCAACAUAGUGCGUAUUAAUAAAAGGACACCACAUCCUGCCAAAUUCCAGCUGCGCUAAUUGUAUUGUGUUCACAGAGCUCACAAGCUAUCAGAAAGUUGUAUGGCAACCACCUCCGGCGCCAAAUAGAACUGGCAGACAUAGACAUUCAGUACAAGAAGAAAAAGAUGGAAAAUCUUGCACUGGAGUCCGAAAUAAAAAAGAGGACAGUUAGGAAACUGGACCUUGAAAUAAAAAAACUUGAGAGGGAGGUGA
Molecule: long non-coding RNA, 438 nt
Organism: Salvelinus fontinalis (brook trout)
Lineage: Eukaryota; Metazoa; Chordata; Actinopteri; Salmoniformes; Salmonidae
Exons: 3
Source: RefSeq, a predicted model, not a curated record